Molecule: ribosomal RNA, 151 nt
Filed under: Sarcobatus vermiculatus (greasewood)
Lineage: Eukaryota; Viridiplantae; Streptophyta; Magnoliopsida; Caryophyllales; Sarcobataceae
Description: 5.8S ribosomal RNA
Rfam family: 5.8S ribosomal RNA
About the family: 5.8S ribosomal RNA (5.8S rRNA) is a component of the large subunit of the eukaryotic ribosome. It is transcribed by RNA polymerase I as part of the 45S precursor that also contains 18S and 28S rRNA. Functionally, it is thought that 5.8S rRNA may be involved in ribosome translocation.
Source: RNAcentral
UCGGCAACGGAUAUCUCGGCUCUCGCAUCGAUGAAGAACGUAGCGAAAUGCGAUACUUGGUGUGAAUUGCAGAAUCCGUGAACCAUCGAGUCUUUGAACGCAAGUUGCGCCUGAAGCCUUUAGGCUGAAGGCAUGUCUGCCUGGGCGUCAC